RNAcentral lists this small RNA (125 nucleotides) under Marmota monax (woodchuck). Lineage: Eukaryota; Metazoa; Chordata; Mammalia; Rodentia; Sciuridae. The record is from RNAcentral.
GCCAGGGGUGGUGACGCACACCUGUAAUCCCAGCGGCUCAGGAGGCUGAGGCAAGAGGAUCGAGAGUUCAAAGCCAGCCUCAGCAACAGCAAGGCACUAAGCAACUCAGUGAGACCCUGUCUCUA